UUAUAAGAAUUUGCUUUCUCAUUGCUCAGACGGUUCAAUAUUUUCAUGGUAGUGUUUUUCGGAGCUACCGGCAGGCUAACAGCUCGAGAGCAGGCUGCCGAAGCAACGGGUAGUUUCACAGAGGGUAGACCGUUCACCCUGGGCCUUUCGGCUGUCGGGUUGAAGGUUGGAAACUCUUUCGAGUCUCCAGCCCACCGAAGGGCUUUGAUUUUUAAUGAUCCUUCCGCAGGUUCACCUACGGAAA
Molecule: unclassified non-coding RNA, 244 nt
Filed under: uncultured fungus
Lineage: Eukaryota; Fungi
Description: sequence contains ITS1
Source: RNAcentral